RNAcentral lists this ribosomal RNA (642 nucleotides) under Dichondra repens. RNAcentral's name for it is "eukaryotic LSU rRNA". The stretch from base 252 to 407 matches the Rfam family "5.8S ribosomal RNA". Lineage: Eukaryota; Viridiplantae; Streptophyta; Magnoliopsida; Solanales; Convolvulaceae. The record is from RNAcentral.
AAGUCGUAACAAGGUUUCCGUAGGUGAACCUGCGGAAGGAUCAUUGUCGAAACCUGCAAAGCAGAACGACCCGCGAACGCGUUUUAUUACAACCCACCUCGUCCGGUCGUGCCCUUCACGGGGCGCGCCUCGGGCGAACAACGAACCCCCGGCGCGGAAAGCGCCAAGGAAUACUACAACGAGACAGCCAGCUCCCUCCGCCCCGUUCGCGGCUAGCGCGGGGAGCCUCGGCGUCUUAUUUUAACAAAAACGACUCUCGGCAACGGAUAUCUCGGCUCUCGCAUCGAUGAAGAACGUAGCGAAAUGCGAUACUUGGUGUGAAUUGCAGAAUCCCGUGAACCAUCGAGUCUUUGAACGCAAGUUGCGCCCGAAGCCGUCAGGCCGAGGGCACGUCUGCCUGGGCGUCACGCAUCGCGUCGCCCCAUCCCCCCCGCGGGAUGGGUGCGGAUGUUGGCCCCCCGUGCCCAUAACUAGGGGCGCGGCCGGCCCAAAUGCGAGUCCUUGGCGACGGACGUCACGGCGAGUGGUGGAAUAAUACUCUCAUUUCGCGUCGUGACCCGUCGGCAUUGGACGGCCGACCCUUUCGAGCGAAUGCUCUCCGACCGCGACCCCAGGUCAGGCGGGAUUACCCGCUGAAUUUAA